AAUUCUCAACCUCACCAAUUUUGUCAUGAAGUUGUGUGUAGGCUUGGAGGUGGGGGGUUUUGCAGGUCCACAAUAUGGUGGUCUGCUCCUCUGAAAUGUAUUAGCGGGUUAGGCCCCUAAUCUAUUGGUGUGAUAACUAUCUACUCCGUGGAUUGGGUUUUGGCUUAUCCAUAGACCUGCUCCAAACCGUCCUUCUCUGGACAACUCCUGACAU
This 214-nucleotide unclassified non-coding RNA is filed under the name Coprinopsis romagnesiana. RNAcentral describes it as "partial internal transcribed spacer 2". Lineage: Eukaryota; Fungi; Basidiomycota; Agaricomycetes; Agaricales; Psathyrellaceae. The record is from RNAcentral.